Molecule: long non-coding RNA, 351 nt
Organism: Zingiber officinale
Lineage: Eukaryota; Viridiplantae; Streptophyta; Magnoliopsida; Zingiberales; Zingiberaceae
Exons: 3
Source: RefSeq, a predicted model, not a curated record
CCUCUGUGCCAUUAUUCCCUUCACGGGCUGAUCUGUGGCCAAGCGAAAGAAGUCUCCAAUCUAGCUUCAAGACCAGCGCUGGAUCUCAGUCUCGGUCUGGUGUGAAGUUGCCGGCAGUUAGUAUGGUGAUCAGACAACAAGGUGCUGAUGUGGAAGGGUUGACCUGUUAGGCAACGACUCCACUGUGGAUCCAAGCAUCACUGGUUGAGGACGAUCCACAGAUUUGAGCAACCUAUUUCUGGUCAUGGAUUCCUUUAAUUGUGAGUUACCAGCCACCUACUUGAGUUUGGGACUUUGACACGAGACGAGCAUCUUGACAUCAGAUUGGACCGGAUACGAUCCUCUUAUCGG